AGAGUUUGAUCCUGGCUCAGGACGAACGCUGGCGGCGUGCUUAACACAUGCAAGUCGAACGAUGAUGCCCAGCUUGCUGGGCGGAUUAGUGGCGAACGGGUGAGUAAUACGUGAGUAACCUGCCCUUGACUCUGGGAUAAGCCUGGGAAACUGGGUCUAAUACUGGAUACUACCUCUUACCGCAUGGUGGGUGGUGGAAAGGGUUUUACUGGUUUUGGAUGGGCUCACGGCCUAUCAGCUUGUUGGUGGGGUAAUGGCUCACCAAGGCGACGACGGGUAGCCGGCCUGAGAGGGUGACCGGCCACACUGGGACUGAGACACGGCCCAGACUCCUACGGGAGGCAGCAGUGGGGAAUAUUGCACAAUGGGCGGAAGCCUGAUGCAGCGACGCCGCGUGAGGGAUGACGGCCUUCGGGUUGUAAACCUCUUUCAGUAGGGAAGAAGCGAGAGUGACGGUACCUGCAGAAGAAGCGCCGGCUAACUACGUGCCAGCAGCCGCGGUAAUACGUAGGGCGCAAGCGUUGUCCGGAAUUAUUGGGCGUAAAGAGCUCGUAGGCGGUUUGUCGCGUCUGCUGUGAAAGCCCGGGGCUCAACCCCGGGUCUGCAGUGGGUACGGGCAGACUAGAGUGCAGUAGGGGAGACUGGAAUUCCUGGUGUAGCGGUGAAAUGCGCAGAUAUCAGGAGGAACACCGAUGGCGAAGGCAGGUCUCUGGGCUGUUACUGACGCUGAGGAGCGAAAGCAUGGGGAGCGAACAGGAUUAGAUACCCUGGUAGUCCAUGCCGUAAACGUUGGGCACUAGGUGUGGGGGACAUUCCACGUUUUCCGCGCCGUAGCUAACGCAUUAAGUGCCCCGCCUGGGGAGUACGGCCGCAAGGCUAAAACUCAAAGGAAUUGACGGGGGCCCGCACAAGCGGCGGAGCAUGCGGAUUAAUUCGAUGCAACGCGAAGAACCUUACCAAGGCUUGACAUUCACCGGACCGCCCCAGAGAUGGGGUUUCCCUUCGGGGCUGGUGGACAGGUGGUGCAUGGUUGUCGUCAGCUCGUGUCGUGAGAUGUUGGGUUAAGUCCCGCAACGAGCGCAACCCUCGUUCUAUGUUGCCAGCACGUGAUGGUGGGGACUCAUAGGAGACUGCCGGGGUCAACUCGGAGGAAGGUGGGGAUGACGUCAAAUCAUCAUGCCCCUUAUGUCUUGGGCUUCACGCAUGCUACAAUGGCCGGUACAAAGGGUUGCGAUACUGUGAGGUGGAGCUAAUCCCAAAAAGCCGGUCUCAGUUCGGAUUGAGGUCUGCAACUCGACCUCAUGAAGUCGGAGUCGCUAGUAAUCGCAGAUCAGCAACGCUGCGGUGAAUACGUUCCCGGGCCUUGUACACACCGCCCGUCAAGUCACGAAAGUUGGUAACACCCGAAGCCGGUGGCCUAACCCCUUGUGGGAGGGAGCCGUCGAAGGUGGGACUGGCGAUUGGGACUAAGUCGUAACAAGGUAGCCGUA
RNAcentral lists this ribosomal RNA (1490 nucleotides) under Kocuria sp. ZS2-6. RNAcentral's name for it is "bacterial SSU rRNA". It matches the Rfam family "Bacterial small subunit ribosomal RNA". The record is from RNAcentral. RNAcentral also lists the same sequence under 1 other name. Lineage: Bacteria; Bacillati; Actinomycetota; Actinomycetes; Micrococcales; Micrococcaceae.